AAAAGGUAGAUAUAGAAAAAAAUUGCCUUUGUUAUUUUCUUGUUAAUUUAAGCAAUGAACUGGAUUCUGUUGUCAUUCCCAAUAAAAUGCUACUAUACUAAAGAUGGAGUAUCCAUUUGAAAGCAUAGGCUUCAUCAUUAGGUUUCCCUUCGAAGCAAAAGGACACGACGUAUCACCAUUAGAUUCUCCAUUAAAGAAAAAAAUAAGACUAAAGAAAAUGCAUUUACAUAUGGAUUCUGAUUCAAGUAUCAUUCUUCCUCUCUCUAAUCAACUUCUCGUACUUAGCUAGCUGCUUAUAGGUUAAGCCUUGGAUUAAUAUAGCAAGCAAAAGCAAGCAGGAAAUUGUAUAGUUGGUCUACUCAAUUUUUUUAAUAAUUUAAUAGUUCAAUUGAUAAAAUAUAAUAUUUAUAAUAAUGUAUUAAGUGGAGUAACACUAUAUAGAGUUACACUUAAAAUAAGUUGAUUUUUCAUUGUAUAGAUGAAAAAGUUGAUAUAUCUAAUAUCUUUUAGGUUUGUUCUUUAUUCAUCGUAAAGAUGGUUGAAUGGUGUAAUUUUAUCAUAUUUAUAAUGAUCGGUUGUAUUUUAAAGAUUGUUCAAUAAUUUUUAUGAUUUUAAAUAAAUGUCUCUUCAAAG
RNAcentral lists this long non-coding RNA (633 nucleotides) under Lathyrus oleraceus (garden pea). Its description in RNAcentral is "Pisum sativum (pea) long non-coding RNA (PSAT_LNC026936)". The record is from RNAcentral. Lineage: Eukaryota; Viridiplantae; Streptophyta; Magnoliopsida; Fabales; Fabaceae.